UACAGAGGUCUCAAGCGUUGUUCGGAUUCAUUGGGCGUAAAGGGUGCGUAGGUGGCGAGGUAAGUCUGGUGUGAAAUCUCGGGGCUCAACCCCGAAACUGCACUGGAUACUGCCUUGCUCGAGUACUGGAGAGGAGAUUGGAAUUUACGGUGUAGCAGUGAAAUGCGUAGAUAUCGUAAGGAAGACCAGUGGCGAAGGCGAAUCUCUGGACAGUUACUGACACUGAGGCACGAAGGCCAGGGGAGCAAACGGG
RNAcentral lists this ribosomal RNA (253 nucleotides) under uncultured bacterium. Its description in RNAcentral is "partial 16S ribosomal RNA". It matches the Rfam family "Bacterial small subunit ribosomal RNA", at positions 524 to 776 of the family's 1533-position model. The record is from RNAcentral.